This 254-nucleotide ribosomal RNA is filed under the name uncultured bacterium. Its description in RNAcentral is "partial 16S ribosomal RNA". It matches the Rfam family "Bacterial small subunit ribosomal RNA", at positions 524 to 776 of the family's 1533-position model. The record is from RNAcentral.
UACGAAGGGGGCUAGCGUCGUUCGGAAUCACUGGGCGUAAAGCGCGCGUAGGCGGGUCGCUAAGUCAGGGGUGAAAUCCUGAGGCUCAACCUCAGAACUGCCUUCGAUACUGGCGAUCUUAGAGUCCGGGAGAGGUGAGUGGAACUCCUAGUGUAGAGGUGAAAUUCGUAGAUAUUAGGAAGAACACCAGUGGCGAAGGCGGCUCACUGGCCCGGUACUGACGCUGAUGUGCGAAAGCGUGGGGAGCAAACAGG